This 250-nucleotide ribosomal RNA is filed under the name uncultured Chroococcidiopsis sp. RNAcentral describes it as "partial 16S ribosomal RNA". It matches the Rfam family "Bacterial small subunit ribosomal RNA", at positions 796 to 1044 of the family's 1533-position model. The record is from RNAcentral. Lineage: Bacteria; Bacillati; Cyanobacteriota; Cyanophyceae; Chroococcidiopsidales; Chroococcidiopsidaceae.
CUAGCUGUAAACGAUGGAUACUAGGCGUUGAGAGUAUCGACCCUCUCAGUGUCGUAGCUAACGCGUUAAGUAUCCCGCCUGGGGAGUACGCGCGCAAGCGUGAAACUCAAAGGAAUUGACGGGGGCCCGCACAAGCGGUGGAGUAUGUGGUUUAAUUCGAUGCAACGCGGAGAACCUUACCAGGGCUUGACAUGUCCGGAACCCUGCCCAAAGGCGGGGGUGCCUACGGGAACCGGAACACAGGUGGUGC